UGCCCGGAGGUGAGGUCGGAAGAGGCGCGUCCCUGAGGGUCGCGACCUGGAAUGGUCUAUUCUUGUCCCUGGCUCCUCUCUUCUCCCUGUUUCCUAGCUGCCAUGCGGUGAGCAGCUUUGCUCCACCAGGCCCUUUCCCUCGCCACACUUCCCCCUUGGAACCAGCCCACCACCGACUAUGCAACUGCAAGUGGAAAAAAGCCCUCUCCUGCGUGGCUGUGGCAUUUCCUUAAGGAAUGUGAGUUGUCAUAGAGACGGCAGGAGUGACGAGAUACAGGUAGAAAUAAGGGUUUCCCGAUGAAGAGUGCUCAUUGCGCUCCAUCCCAACAUGACCCGAAGAGAAGAUGUUGCUCAGGACCUUCAGCACGGAACUUGCCAAAGUAGAGUACGGAACUUCUGCCCUCCAUC
This is a long non-coding RNA of Fukomys damarensis (Damara mole-rat), 408 nucleotides long. RefSeq lists it as uncharacterized. The transcript is spliced from 3 exons. NCBI's taxonomy places the organism in Eukaryota, Metazoa, Chordata, Mammalia, Rodentia, Bathyergidae. The record is from RefSeq and is a predicted model, not a curated record.